Molecule: ribosomal RNA, 976 nt
Filed under: Phomopsis sp.
Lineage: Eukaryota; Fungi; Ascomycota; Sordariomycetes; Diaporthales; Diaporthaceae
Description: eukaryotic LSU rRNA
Rfam family: Eukaryotic large subunit ribosomal RNA
Source: RNAcentral
GCCCUAGUAACGGCGAGUGAAGCGGCAACAGCUCAAAUUUGAAAUCUGGCUUCGGCCCGAGUUGUAAUUUGCAGAGGAUGCUUCUGGCGCGGUGCCUUCCGAGUUCCCUGGAACGGGACGCCACAGAGGGUGAGAGCCCCGUAUGGUCGGACACCAAGCCUGUGUGAAGCUCCUUCGACGAGUCGAGUAGUUUGGGAAUGCUGCUCUAAAUGGGAGGUAAAUCUCUUCUAAAGCUAAAUACCGGCCAGAGACCGAUAGCGCACAAGUAGAGUGAUCGAAAGAUGAAAAGCACCUUGAAAAGGGGGUUAAAUAGUACGUGAAAUUGUUGAAAGGGAAGCACUUGUGACCAGACUUGGGCCGGGCGGCUCAUCAGGGGUUCUCCCCUGUGCACUCCGCCCGGCACAGGCCAGCAUCGGUUCUCGUGGGGGGAUAAGACCGUCAGGAACGUAGCACCCUCCGGGGUGUGUUAUAGCCUGGCGGACGAUACCCCCGUGGGGACCGAGGUUCGCGCUCCGCAAGGAUGCUGGCGUAAUGGUCACCAGUGACCCGUCUUGAAACACGGACCAAGGAGUCGUCCAUUAGAGCGAGCGUUUGGGUGUAAAACCCGCACGCGUAAUGAAAGUGAACGCAGGUGAGAGCUUCGGCGCAUCAUCGACCGAUCCUGAUGUUCUCGGAAGGAUUUGAGUAAGAGUUUUAACGGACGGACCCGAAAGACAGUGAACUAUGCUUGUAUAGGGUGAAGCCAGAGGAAACUCUGGUGGAGGCUCGCAGCGGUUCUGACGUGCAAAUCGAUCGUCAAAUAUGAGCAUGGGGGCGAAAGACUAAUCGAACUGUCUAGUAGCUGGUUACCGCCGAAGUUUCCCUCAGGAUAGCAGUGUUGAUCUUCAGUUUUAUGAGGUAAAGCGAAUGAUUAGGGACUCGGGGGCGCUAUAUAGCCUUCAUCCAUUCUCAAACUUUAAAUAUGUAAGAAGCCCUU